Molecule: long non-coding RNA, 717 nt
Filed under: Piliocolobus tephrosceles (Ugandan red Colobus)
Lineage: Eukaryota; Metazoa; Chordata; Mammalia; Primates; Cercopithecidae
Description: lncRNA (ENSPTEG00000002055.1)
Source: RNAcentral
GAUUCCUGAAAGACGUAAAUGGAAUAUGUACGACUUAGGCAUAGAGGAAAAUUUUAAGAAUAUUUUGGUAAGGAACUAAAAAAAAAAAAAAAAAAAGUCUGUUUUCGUUUUUUUAUACCAAUGUACAUAUAUAUAUAUAUAUAUGUACGAACCUGUAGUUAUAUAUCUAUAUGUCCAUGUGCCCAAAUGUUUACAAGUUCACAUGUCUAUAUGUGUUAACAUUUUUUCCCCAUUUGUUGAUUUUAUCUAACAGGGAGAUAAUAUUUUACUUUGGUUUUUUCCUGUUGGCAAACCUAAAGGUGAUGGGUUAUUUUUUAAAACCUCUGGAAAUUUAGAUGAAUAAACCUAAAUAGGAAUAAGAUUAGGAUUAAUGCUAUAUCUUUUCACAUUUUUACCCCCUUUUAUUUUUUUAUAUUUUUUUUUUCUAGCUUUAAAUNNNNNNNNNNUUUUUUUUUUUUUUUUUUGGUAGAUUCCUGAAAGACGUAAAUGGAAUAUGUACGACUUAGGCAUAGAGGAAAAUUUUAAGAAUAUUUUGGGAGAUAAUAUUUUACUUUGGUUUUUUCCUGUUGGCAAACCUAAAGGUGAUGGGUUAUUUUUUAAAACCUCUGGAAAUUUAGGUAACUCUAUUUUUAUUUUUAUUUUUAUUUUUUUUAACUGCAAAUAUUUAAUAGUUUUAUAUUAUUCAUGCGUAUGAGUUGAAGAAAAACAUAAUAGAAU